Molecule: unclassified non-coding RNA, 201 nt
Filed under: Hevea brasiliensis (rubber tree)
Lineage: Eukaryota; Viridiplantae; Streptophyta; Magnoliopsida; Malpighiales; Euphorbiaceae
Source: RNAcentral
UGCCUUUAUGCAGACAACAGAACAAAAGCUCAAGAGUUUGAAUAUGAAGAAUCUAUCAUUCAAGAAAGUACUGAGCAAGUUGAAGUUCAAGAGUUGUUUUACCUUGAUUAGAGACAUAGUUUAAAGGAGAUAUGUUAUUAUUUCUAUGUGCUGCAUUUUUUUCUUUUUAGGAGUUGAUAAAGAUUUUUCAUACAACGUGAG